Varanus komodoensis (Komodo dragon) is the source of this 108-nucleotide small nuclear RNA. The record is from Ensembl. NCBI's taxonomy places the organism in Eukaryota, Metazoa, Chordata, Lepidosauria, Squamata, Varanidae.
GUGCUUACUUUGCAGCAAAUAUACUAAAACUGGAAUGAUACCAAGAAGACUAGCAUGGUCCCUGCACAAGGAUAGCUUAUAAAUGUGUGUGUGUAGAAGCAAAUGUGU